RNAcentral lists this ribosomal RNA (472 nucleotides) under Escherichia coli. Its description in RNAcentral is "bacterial LSU rRNA". It matches the Rfam family "Bacterial large subunit ribosomal RNA", at positions 686 to 1155 of the family's 2925-position model. Lineage: Bacteria; Pseudomonadati; Pseudomonadota; Gammaproteobacteria; Enterobacterales; Enterobacteriaceae. The record is from RNAcentral.
AACUGGGCGUUAAGUUGCAGGGUAUAGACCCGAAACCCGGUGAUCUAGCCAUGGGCAGGUUGAAGGUUGGGUAACACUAACUGGAGGACCGAACCGACUAAUGUUGAAAAAUUAGCGGAUGACUUGUGGCUGGGGGGGAAAGGCCAAUCAAACCGGGAGAUAGCUGGUUCUCCCCGAAAGCUAUUUAGGUAGCGCCUCGUGAAUUCAUCUCCGGGGGUAGAGCACUGUUUCGGCAAGGGGGUCAUCCCGACUUACCAACCCGAUGCAAACUGCGAAUACCGGAGAAUGUUAUCACGGGAGACACACGGCGGGUGCUAACGUCCGUCGUGAAGAGGGAAACAACCCAGACCGCCAGCUAAGGUCCCAAAGUCAUGGUUAAGUGGGAAACGAUGUGGGAAGGCCCAGACAGCCAGGAUGUUGGCUUAGAAGCAGCCAUCAUUUAAAGAAAGCGUAAUAGCUCACUGGUCGAGUC